GAGUGUAUAGAGAUGAAUGUCACAAAACAUCAGAGUAUUUAUUACAUAGCGGAAGACUUAUUACAAAAUAAAAUAGUAAAUAUAACACGAACUAAGGAUCGUCGGCGCCAAUGUCAACUGAGAAACGCCACCUAGAUCAGAUCAUACUCCUCGCCUUGUGGCUCCUCCUGAACCACCUGCUCCUCUCAUGUGGGGGUGAGACAGCAAGGGUGAGCUCACACAUGAUCAUAGCUCAACAAGCUGUGGGAAACCAGUGGACAUAAACUCACAAAGAUGUGAGUUCAUGUGAUGUGUAAGGCUAAUCAAUGACAGGGGUUUAAGCUGAGCAUUGCUUUUAAAUAGUUGGUCAAAAUUUUAUUAGCAAUUACUAAGUGUAAGUAAAUACCAAACCAUAAGUAAAGUAAUUGAACAAAAUUAAUAAUAAACCCAUGCAAUGCAAAUGACAAAAUUGAAUUUAAGUUCCAUAAUUUAAACAUCAGAGAGUCCUAAACUGCUCAUGACCGCGAGCACGGCUAGUAUACCAGUUUUACACUCUACAGAGGUUGUACCCUUUACCCACAAGUCAUGUUACCCAUCUGCCAAGGGAUCGCGACUUCCCAUACACCUCUACCGAGGAAGCGAGGCAGGGUAACACUACGAGGCCUUUAUAAAGUUUCACUAGCUUCAGAAAACCCGCUACAGUUUAUAGGAAGCUCCAAUGCAGGGUUCUUGUCUGACCGCCAUCGCAGCAAAAUCAACCAAGGACCCCCCUACACUGACCACUCCCCUACUGCCCUUGCCCCUUUCGGGUAAGGUAGACCUCCACUAGCUUUCCUAGUUAAUCAGCCAAGGGCGUCCCAUUAAACCCUUGUGGUGGCACGUGUUACUCAAGUUAAGCUCUAUGUUCCAAUUAACAUUAAUGAUCUCAACAUGAACAUAAAUAGAAUAACAAAAAGAAUUGGAACAUAGAGGUAAUAAAUGAUUAUCCCAACACCACAUAAAGCAAUAGCAAACUACCCAAGUGAUUCAGGGGUAAACAAGGUAAUGAGAUAAACAAUCUAGGGUGACCUAUUGGGUCCCAUCAAAAUUAACCUAUGCAUGAGUAAAUGAUAUUAAAGAACAUUAUUGGGUAAAAAGUGGUCAAGGGCACAACUUGCCUUCAAUGAGCUCCUGCUCAGCUACUUCAA
RNAcentral lists this long non-coding RNA (1166 nucleotides) under Zea mays. RNAcentral's name for it is "long non-coding RNA (ZMAY_LNC002078)". Lineage: Eukaryota; Viridiplantae; Streptophyta; Magnoliopsida; Poales; Poaceae. The record is from RNAcentral.